Molecule: long non-coding RNA, 242 nt
Organism: Oenanthe melanoleuca
Lineage: Eukaryota; Metazoa; Chordata; Aves; Passeriformes; Muscicapidae
Exons: 3
Source: RefSeq, a predicted model, not a curated record
UUUCAGGAUGGCUUGAAUUCUUUGGUCCUUGAUCUGGAUUAUCCAGCGCUGAGGAAGAACAAGAACAUUGAUAAUUUUUUAAAUAGAUAUGAGAAGAUUGUGGAAAAAAUCCGAGCUUUACAAAUGAAAGCUGAAGACUAUGAUGUUGUUAAGGUGAUUGGAAGAGGGGCUUUUGGAGAAGUGCAGCUGGACUUCUAAAUCUUUCUGUCUGAUAAGUGUCACAAAAAUGUGAACAUAUGUAU